CAGCACAAGCACUCCGCGUACAGCAAAGCCAGGUACAAACAGGAUAACAAAGGACAGAAAUCAAAGGCAUGAUGCAUUGAAGCCUACUAAAUGUUUGAGAAGAAAAGCUUCUUAAGAAAAAAGGCUUCAACACCAAGCUGCCGUUAUACAAGCCAGGUUAUAAGAAAGUGGGGUUGGUAAAUUACUUUCUGAGGAAUCUUGUGUCCUUUAAGAAGAGUUCAUCUGUUGGUAAAAGCUGUAUUGCAUCACCUGAGCUCAGCUCGAGGGAGCCAUUUGCAGCCAAACUUGAUUAUUUCAUCACCACCACCU
This 309-nucleotide long non-coding RNA is filed under the name Fukomys damarensis (Damara mole-rat). Its description in RNAcentral is "lncRNA (ENSFDAG00000021884.1)". The record is from RNAcentral. Lineage: Eukaryota; Metazoa; Chordata; Mammalia; Rodentia; Bathyergidae.